GGCUACACACGUGCUACAAUGGGUAGUACAGAGAGUCGCAAAGCCGCGAGGUGGAGCUAAUCUCAGAAAACUAUUCUUAGUUCGGAUUGUACUCUGCAACUCGAGUACAUGAAGUCUGGAAUCGCUAGUAAUCGCGAAUCAGCAAUGUCGCGGUGAAUACGUUCUCGGGUCUUGUACACACCGCCCGUCACACCACGAGAGUUGGUUGCACCUGAAGUAGCAGGCCUAACCGUAAGGAGGGAUGCUCCGAGGGUGUGAUUAGCGAUUGGGGUGAAGUCGUAACAAGGUAUCCGUACGGGAACGU
RNAcentral lists this ribosomal RNA (304 nucleotides) under uncultured Fusobacterium sp. Its description in RNAcentral is "bacterial SSU rRNA". It matches the Rfam family "Bacterial small subunit ribosomal RNA", at positions 1212 to 1513 of the family's 1533-position model. The record is from RNAcentral. Lineage: Bacteria; Fusobacteriati; Fusobacteriota; Fusobacteriia; Fusobacteriales; Fusobacteriaceae.